AACGAACGCUGGCGGCAUGCCUAACACAUGCAAGUCGAACGAGAUCUUCGGGUCUAGUGGCGCACGGGUGCGUAACGCGUGGGAAUCUGCCCUUUGGUUCGGAUAACAGUUGGAAACGACUGCUAAUACCGGAUGAUGACGAAAGUCCAAAGAUUUAUCGCCAGAGGAUGACCCCGCGUAGGAUUAGCUAGUUGGUGUGGUAAAGGCGCACCAAGGCGACGAUCCUUAGCUGGUCUGAGAGGAUGAUCACCCACACUGGGACUGAGACACGGCCCACACUCCUACGGGAGGCAGCAGUGGGGAAUAUUGGACAAUGGGCGAAAGCCUGAUCCAGCAAUGCCGCGUGAGUGAUGAAGGCCUUAGGGUUGUAAAGCUCUUUUACCCGGGAUGAUAAUGACAGUACCGGGAGAAUAAGCUCCGGCUAACUCCGUGCCAGCAGCCGCGGUAAUACGGAGGGAGCUAGCGUUGUUCGGAAUUACUGGGCGUAAAGCGCACGUAGGCGACUUUGUAAGUUAGAGGUGAAAGCCUGGAGCUCAACUCCAGAACUGCCUUUAAGACUGCAUCGCUUGAAUCCAGGAGAGGUGAGUGGAAUUCCGAGUGUAGAGGUGAAAUUCGUAUAUAUUCAGAAGAACACCAGUGGCGAAGGCGGCCCACUGGACUGGUAUUGACGCUGA
This 674-nucleotide ribosomal RNA is filed under the name uncultured bacterium. RNAcentral's name for it is "bacterial SSU rRNA". It matches the Rfam family "Bacterial small subunit ribosomal RNA", at positions 28 to 749 of the family's 1533-position model. The record is from RNAcentral.